Hypanus sabinus (Atlantic stingray) is the source of this 3176-nucleotide long non-coding RNA. RefSeq lists it as uncharacterized. The record is from RefSeq and is a predicted model, not a curated record. The transcript is spliced from 3 exons. Lineage: Eukaryota; Metazoa; Chordata; Chondrichthyes; Myliobatiformes; Dasyatidae.
AGAGAGAAAUCAGUCAGUGCCACUUUAAUGAAAACAUUCCUGUUGUGAAGAUGCAACAUACUUUAAUUAUAGUGGAAGCUUUUUUGCUUCCUGUGCAUUAACAACACAUUUCAGAGGAGGUUCACGAGAAUGAUCACAGAAAUGAAAGGGUUAAUGUACAAGGAGCAUUUGAUGGCUCUGGGCCUGUACUCACUGGAAUUUAGAAGAAUGGGGGGGGGGGUGGGUGGGAGAUCUCAUUGAAUUCUACUGAAUACUGAAAGGCUAGAGAGAGUCCAUGUGGAGAAGAUGUUUCCAAUAGUGCAGGACUCUAAGACCAGAGGGCAUAGAUUCAGAAUAGAAAGAUGUUGUUUUAGACAAAAAUGGGAAGGAAUUUCUUUAGGCAGAGGAUGGUGAAUCUGAGGAAUUCAUUGCCACAGACAAACCAUUGAGUAUAUUUAAAGUGGAGGUUGAAAGGUUCUUGAUGAGUUAGAGCAUCAAAUGUUACCAGAAUGGGAUUUAAAAGGACAAUAAAUCAGCCAUGAUUGAAUGGCUGAUAGGCUGAACAGCCUAGUUCUACUCCAAUGUCUUACGAUCUUCCCACCUGUGAUACCAGAUGAGUUCAGUGCCAUUUGUACAAUGACAAACUUACAUCAGCAUUACAGGCAACAGUAUUAGAGACACAGCAUUCACAACAAAAACAUCAAUUAAACAAGAGAUUCUGCGAUGCUGGUAAUCUCGAACAACGCAUAAAAUGCUGGAGGAAUUCAACAGGUCAGGCAGCAUCUAUGGAAGGGAAUAAGCAGUCGACAUUUUGGGUGAAGACCUUUCAUUAGGACUGGAGAGGAAUGAGGAAGAAGCCAGAGAUUAAAUAUAAAUCAUAUAUAAUAAUACUACAAGAGCAGAAUUUGAACAGCAAAAAAUAGUCCAUUGUAGUGUGAAAUGAUCAUGGUUGCUGUAGUGAAGUAGUGACCAACUUUGUGUAAGUUUGUUCAAGAGCCAAAUGGUUAAAGUAGCUGCUCUUGAAACUGGUGGGGUGGGACUUCAGGCUUCUGUGCCUCUUGCCCAAUGGUAGCAGUGAGAAGGUGGCAUGGCCUGGACGAUGGGGUUCUCUGGUGAUAGAUGUUGCCUGCUUGACGCAGAGCCCACUACUCUCUACAGCUUCCUGUGUUUCUCCGUGUUUGAAUUGUUGUACCAGACCAUGAUGCAACUAGACAAGAUGCUUUCAACAGCCCGUCAGUGGAAGCUAACUGGAGUAUUCAGUGACAUACCAAAUGUCUUUAACCCUUGAAGAAAGUAAAGGCAGUGGUGUGUUUCUUUGUGAUUGCAUCAGUAUGUUGGACCCAGGUCAGGUUAUCUGAUAUAUUAAUACCCAGGAAUUUAAAGCUGUUGACUCUCUCACCACUGAUCCACCAAUGUAGACUGGCACAUGUCCAGCCCCUUCCUCUUCCAAAAGUCAAUGACCAGUUUAAAUUAAUUUUUUUUUUUACUGAUGUUGAAUGUGAGCUUGUUGUUGCAGAAACAUUCAACCAUCAGCAUGCUCCAUGCAGAAAUGCCACAGAUCUACCACAUUCAGAGAGUUACUCUGACCUUAUGGUCAGCACCUUCAUAGACAGUGGCACCCUGAUCAUGAAAUUCUAGUCCAGUUUCCUCCCACAGUCCAAAGACCUACCAGUUCAAAGUAAAUUUAUUAUCAAAGUACUUAUCUGUCAUCGUAUACAAUCCUGAGAUUCAUUUUCUUUUUACAUAGUCAGUCCAAGAAACACAACAGAAUCAUUGAAAGACUGCACCCAACAGGACAAGCAAACAACCAAAAGACAACAUACUGUGCAAAUACAAAAAAAAGGAAUAAAUAUCGAGAACAUGAGAUGAAGAAGCCUUGAAGGUCAUAGGACAGUCUCAAAUACAAAAGGAACACGAACAGUGAUUUAAAACCAAAAAUCCUGGGAGAUAUUCAGCAGGCCAAGCAGUAGCCGUGGCGAGAGAAACAGAUCUAUAUUCUACGAGUCUCUGCUGCCAUCACUUCUCCAGUGGUCCUGCAAAGAGUCACAGAUUCUGGCUCUGGCCAUCCAGCCACGACUUCUUUGGGCUUUGAUCUGGAUUUCCAAUCAACAGGUUCUCCACUCAGGUUGUUAUAAAAACCAGAGUUGUUCCCCUGGCACAAUUAUAUAGUUCAUUCCGGGCUGUGCCUAUACAAGUCCUUUCACUGUGUGAUACACCGAUCAUGAACUAACAAGUGUUUCAGAGAAGUUAAGGAUACUCAGAACAACAAAGGACAAAGCAGAACUUUAAAAUAUAUCGCCUACAUUAAAUUCCGAGGAGCAGCCUUUCAUGAAGAGACUGAAAGAUGUGAAAUGACAUUUUGACAUUGGAAGUCCCAGACUCUGGGAGCACAGCAUGGUCUUGAAAACAUGUCUAUUUUACAGAGUUUGGAUUGAAUUACAAUUAGAAUGUAUUAAAGCUGCAGAACAGAAACGUAAAUAUCUUUAUACAACACCAUCAGCUAAUCACUGCAAAGUAACUAGACCCUUUAGCAGUUAUGUCUAAUAAAUUUACGUUGUCUUGUAAUUAACACUGGGAAACUGAGUUUAGUUUUCAGAGUAAUUCUCAGCCUAAUCCGAUUACACUGCAAGGUUUCAGAGAUUAUCAGUGUGGAAGAACUGCAUCAGUGAUUAAGAACAUUAUAAUGCAAAAUGAAGCUUGCUGGAUUCAAGAAGAAACACAAGUAUAUUGUGGAGAAACUAUACAGUGCUCCACAAGACCAAUUGUGAAAACACUGACUGUAUUCAGUAGGCAUAACUCCACACUAUAAAUAUACAAUCUACUAAAAAGGUGGGUCAGAUUUUGUUACACACAGUAAACACAAGAGAGUUUGCAGGUGCUGGAAAUCCAGAGCAGGAAUUCAGCAGGUCAGGCAACAUUCACUGAGGGAAAUAAACAGUCGAUGUUUUGGGCUGAGAUCCUCCAUCAGGACUGGAAAGGAAGGGGCAAAAGCCAGAAGAAGGUGGAGGGAGGGAAAGACAACAAGCUGGCAGGUCAAAGGUGAUGAUUUUGCUGCUUUGUAUCAGGAUUUUGUAUAUUCUCCCUUCAAUUGUGUGGGUUUCCUACGGGUGCCCCAUGUUUGGCACACAUUCCAAAUACAUAUGGGGUAUGGCUAUUAAGUUGUGGGCAUACUUUAUCAUCACCAGUACUGUGCUGAC